GAUGAAGAACGUAGCGAAAUGCGAUAAGUAAUGUGAAUUGCAGAAUUCAGUGAAUCAUCGAAUCUUUGAACGCACAUUGCGCCCCCUGGUAUUCCGGGGGGCAUGCCUGUCCGAGCGUCAUUACAACCCUCAAGCUCGGCUUGGUGUUGGGCCCCGCCGCCCCGGCGGGCCCUAAAGUCAGUGGCGGUGCCGUCCGGCUCCGAGCGUAGUAAUUCUUCUCGCUCUGGAGGUCCGGUCGUGUGCUCGCCAGCAACCCCCAAUUUUUUUCAGGUUGACCUCGGAUCAGGUGGGGAUACCCGCUGAACUUAAGCAUAUAUAAGCGGAGGA
This 327-nucleotide unclassified non-coding RNA is filed under the name soil metagenome. Its description in RNAcentral is "partial contains 5.8S ribosomal RNA, internal transcribed spacer 2, and large subunit ribosomal RNA". The stretch from base 1 to 120 matches the Rfam family "5.8S ribosomal RNA", at positions 35 to 154 of the family's 154-position model. The record is from RNAcentral.